Molecule: ribosomal RNA, 654 nt
Filed under: uncultured Bacteroidota bacterium
Lineage: Bacteria; Pseudomonadati; Bacteroidota
Description: bacterial SSU rRNA
Rfam family: Bacterial small subunit ribosomal RNA
Source: RNAcentral
CACAUGCAAGUCGAGGGGCAGCAUUUUAGUUUGCUUGCAAACUAAAGAUGGCGACCGGCGCACGGGUGAGUAACACGUAUCCAACCUGCCGAUAACUCAGGGAUAGCCUUUCGAAAGAAAGAUUAAUACCUGAUGGCAUAGGAUUAUCGCAUGAUAAUCCUAUUAAAGAAUUUCGGUUAUCGAUGGGGAUGCGUUCCAUUAGGCAGUUGGUGAGGUAACGGCUCACCAAACCUUCGAUGGAUAGGGGUUCUGAGAGGAAGGUCCCCCACAUUGGAACUGAGACACGGUCCAAACUCCUACGGGAGGCAGCAGUGAGGAAUAUUGGUCAAUGGACGGGAGUCUGAACCAGCCAAGUAGCGUGAAGGAUGACUGCCCUAUGGGUUGUAAACUUCUUUUAUACGGGAAUAAAGUGAUCCACGUGUGGGUUUUUGUAUGUACCGUAUGAAUAAGGAUCGGCUAACUCCGUGCCAGCAGCCGCGGUAAUACGGAGGAUCCGAGCGUUAUCCGGAUUUAUUGGGUUUAAAGGGAGCGUAGGUGGAUUGUUAAGUCAGUUGUGAAAGUUUGCGGCUCAACCGUAAAAUUGCAGUUGAUACUGGCAGUCUUGAGUACAGUAGAGGUGGGCGGAAUUCGUGGUGUAGCGGUGAAAUGCUUAGA